Molecule: non-coding RNA, 7389 nt
Organism: Oryctolagus cuniculus (rabbit)
Lineage: Eukaryota; Metazoa; Chordata; Mammalia; Lagomorpha; Leporidae
Source: RefSeq, a predicted model, not a curated record
GAGCUGGUGCCCAACUCACCAAUCACGAGAACGUCCCUCCUUUUAUAGCCUAUAAAACCCUAGACAAUCUGCCUUCAAAAUGGCUGUCUCUUUCAGGGACUCCUCUCCGUGCAUUUUUUUUUUUUUUAUUUCACUUCUGCUGUAAUUUCUCUGCUUGCUUUCCGGAAACUGCUACCGCUGUGCACACUCUUCCUUGCUCGUGCUCCUCGUUCUUCGAGGACACAAGACACAAACCCAGUGGAGAAACAGAAGUGUAAUGACUGCAGACCACUGCCACACUGGGAUCGUGGUCAUCUUGGGGGACGCUCUGGGUUUUAGAAUUCCGGAAAAAGGAGUCCGGCUGCCCGCAACUUAUUUCAAAUAGAGAGCCGCGUAGAGCUUGCAUUUGUCUCCUGAUGGGGGCCACGGAGUAUAAACCAUCGUUGAACAAAAUUUUGUUCUCAUUUGGAUUCAAAUAGAAUUUGUCAUCUCCGAGGGGCAGAUGUUAUGCAUCAAACAAAUGACAGAUUGAACACUGAGUCAAACAAAUCCCAAGGAGGGAGACAAUAUCCAAAUUGCUUUCACUGCAAUAACUCAGCCCAGACAAGAACAAAAACAAUGACAGCACAUCUAAACCCCAAGUACCGGAUGGCAGAGUGGACAGUGAGAGAGAGACAGAGAGAAAGGUCUUCCUUUUGCCGUUGGUUUAUCCUCCAAUGGCCGCUGCGGCCGGCGCACUGCGCUGAUCUGAAGGCAGGAGCCAGGUGCUUCUUCUGGUCUCCCAUGGGGUGCAGGGCCCAAGGACCUGGGCCAUCCUCCACUGCCCUCCCUGGCCACAGUAGAGAGCUGGACUGGAAGAGGGGCAACCGGGACAGAAUCCAGCGCCCCAACUGGGACUAGAACCUGGUGUGCCGGCACCGCAAGGCAGAGGAUUAGGCUAUUGAGCCGUGGCGCCGGCCCAGAGUAACUGGCUGGCUGUGGUAGCAGUGCAGUAGGGAUCAGUUCAACAUUUGAGACUCCCCCUACUCACCUCCCCCCAUUCCCGAAAGAGAACGACCCUGGGAAGUCAACAAACAAUGUGAGAGACGAAGCGUGUCAAGUUCAAGCCUUGUCUUCGGCUCAGCUGUUCUAAUCGGCCUGGGGAAGUUCACCUCCACUCCUCCCUGAACUGAUCCAGGUUGGUGAUGCAUCUAGGACUGUUCUCUCCCUUCCCAUCCAGAAAGACCAAAGGAACGUUUGAAAUUUACUUUCUUGGGGAUUUGGAAAUGUACAAUACACUGUUGUCGACCGCGCUCACUCCACUGCGUGAUAGAUCUCAAGACUGACAUCACUCAUCACUGCUGUCUAACUGCGGCUGAGGCUCUGUACCCUUUGACCCCUCCCCCCAUACCCCACCUUUGGUGAUCACCAUUUCACUCUUUGUUCCAAUGAGAGCCCAGAGUCUCAUACUCUGAAUGUCAACAGUUAUCAGGAAGAAGUCAGAAGUCCUGCCUUCCCGGACACCCUACUACACUCUUUCUCAAGUCUUUGCUUUACUUGAUAAUUGUUUUUGUGGAUUAUCAGCAGCGAGAGGAUGUUCUGAGAGCUGUCAGCAGAGUGUCAAGGAGAGUGACUGAGCAGCACGUAUCAUUUCCUUGUGACCUUUACUUGAUUGUGCCUUUGAACAGCGCGACUUUCUCAAGAUAAGAUAACCAUCUCAAGGAAAAGUUGAAGAGAGCUGGCAAUAAAAAGAGAAAGCAAUAGCUAAAAGAAUCAAGAACAAAGCAAAGAAGAAAAUUUCAGGCAGAUGGUGGAGGAGAGACUCCCAGUGUCUGAUGUGCUGGUGCAGAGAGGAGGCAUCAAGGAAGCCGGAACAUCUGUCCUCGCAGGCCUACUUGGCUCAUUGUCCCGUGUGCACAGAGAGAGCCUGCACAGCUUUUUGAGAAAUUCGAAACCAUCCUCUCUAGCUCUUGGCAGGGGCUCUGCCGAAGCAGGAAGUGGCUUGCAGGGUCUCCUGUUCCUAGGACGGAAACGUGGCUGCGGAAGUCAAAUAGCAAUGAUAAUAGCUGAAAUAAAUAAAUAAAACCUGGUAGCUUUGUUAUGCUCACAGCCAUUCCUUCAGCCACCCUGGGUCCAUAUGUGCCUUUCUGUGAGGAUUUGGGCAACACUAACAAUUCUGUGCUUUUGCCUAACAAGGCGCAAACAUCCUCCCAAGGAAUGAAGAUAUUCCGACUCUCUCUCUCUACAGGUCCUGCAAAUCCCCGAUUGUCAUUGUGUCCAUAUGUGGGGGAUGUUCAUUUUACCCCGAAUCAGUCAUGCACUCCUCUGACUAUUUUGUAACCAGAGGCUAAGCUACAAAGAUAUUAUCCACCACUGAACAUAUUUAUAAAACAUAUUAAGGGGAAAAUGCAGUUUUUAAAGAAACAUUCAAAAAUGUGUUAGGAAAUGUUAUAUUCUUAGCUACAAGGGUUCAGCUUUCCUCAAGGUUGAUGUAGACGUCAAGCUUCUAGAUCUCGCCUGAGCCCUGAGCCCAGCGUUUCAUAGCAUGGAGUGGAAAGUGGCCGAUUCACCACUGGGUUUUAGCUGUGUAGAUAAUCAGUAGGCAAUGCUGACGCAGGUCACAAAUUUUUACUCCAAUAUAAUCACAGUUGUUUUAGAUGGAAAUUACCUAUUAUUGAUUAAAUGCACUUUAAGUCUGGUAUCUGCCUGAGUACUUCCCAGUUGUAAGCUUUCUCAUUAAUGAUUGGUUUUGAGUUCCAAGCUAGAGAUUUCCACUGGGGGCAUUGUUGGGAUGGAAAAUGCUAGCAAUAGACUGCCAAACAGAGGCUGUUGCCCUUUUGCUAAAGGACUGUGGGGCUAGAAAACGAUGCACCAGUAUGGGUGUCAUACUGCAAAUUUCAAGCUCUGGUACCAGCAGCAUUUAAAAAAAAAAAAAAGUGUGACCUUCCCAAGGUCACACUAGGCUCCCACGGCAUUCCAGCUUUCUCUGGGGGAGUGGCAGAUGCCUGGGCUUGUUUAGCUGGAGGGCCAGGAAGCAGGGGAGCAGGGAGAAAAGCAAAAGAAGAUCACAGGACUUGGCUUCAGCUGUAGCUCCAGGCGCUCCAUCCCCUGUGGGGAGUAAUUUGCAUCUGCAUGCAUCUCACCUGAGAGUGUGGCGCUGUCUUUUAGAAUGGAUUCCAUGAAUGUGCCAUUAUGAUGCCUCCUUGCUCCAGACACACAGGAUAAAUUGCCCACUACUCUGCACUGUCAGUGUCAAGUGCCACGUAGACAGGCUUUGGGAGUAGCUUAGGGAGACAGACGUCAGACGUGAACUGAAGUCAGGUUAUCUCAUCAGUCAUGAAUUUUCCAUCAGGGGCUCUGGAUUCUAAAUUUAAGCAACAACAGUUUUUAGGCUUUAGUAGAAGAAUGUGAGUGUGGCCUAUGAAACAAGCGACCAAAAUUAGGGUAGUGGAGCCUCCAACACAAGCAUGUCGUCUACAAGUGUGUCGUAGACCCACGUAACAAAGGCAAUGGGGUUUUAGGAAGAGACACAGAAGACACAGGUCCUGGAGCAUGGGCUCACAUAGCUGUUGGAUCUUGAUGGAGCGCUUUGCCCUGAAUCGGCUCACAGCUUUCGGAGCUGGAGUUUUAGUUCCCUUCCCUGAGUCUGAGUCUGGGGUCCUUAUGUCCUGAAGCAGCUCCACUGUGAUCCCAGGUCAGCUCCCUGUCAUAGGACAACCCCCUCUGAGGACCCAGCUGGGGAAACCACUGCGUGGAAUGGCCAUUUCCUGCUGGGUAAUUUGUCCACAGGCUGAAGUAAUCCCGUGUAUCCCUGCGUUUGCCUCACGGAGGUGAGCAGAUGCUCCCUUGUGUUGGGGCCUGCGCUGUGGCACAGUCGGGCAGAGCCUCCACCCACAAUGCUGGCAUCCUGUAUGGGUGCCAGUUUGUGUCCUGGCUGCUCCACUUCUGAUCUAGCUCCCUGCUAAUGGCUUGGGAAAAGCAAGAGAAGAUGGCCCAAGUGUUUGGGUUCCUGCCACCAACGUAGGAGUUCGAACCAGUGGAAGCUUUUUGCUCCUGGCUUCAACCUGGCCCAGUGCUGGCCAUUUUAGCUGUCUGGGGAGUGAACCAGCUGAUGGAUGAUCCCUCUGUCCCUCUUUUUCUGUAACUCUGACUUUCAAAAUAAAUGCAUAAACCUUAAACACAACAGCAAAAACCAGCUGUGUGUCCUGAAGUUUAGCCUCUGGUCUCCAGAUUGCAUUUCUGUUGUUCUGUAUUCUACUCCUAGGAUUGAACAGGUCACAUCUGAGAAUAGUCAUGCAAGAUUUAGACUGGAAUUCAAAUUGAGUUAGGGAUGGGGGAAUUUAGCUCUGUGUCUACCACAUAGUAGGUGCUUUGUAAGUGUUGCUCCUAUCAGGGACACAGACUAACCACGGUAAAUGGGGCCAAGCUUCUCAACAGCUGAAGAAUCUGUAAUAGAACAAGUUCAUGGCCCUCCUGGUCUGUCAGGCCUCAGAUCCCCGCCCCUCUUUGGAUCGCAUUGAACAACUCUGGUCCAAAUUCGUACAGGACUUCUCGGGAAUGACCUAGGGUACACUGACUCAUCACCUGCCACGGCACAUCACUGGUGGCCAGGUCUGCUGGGUGUGAUGCUUGGAUAUCUGGAGUUGGACAGACGUUCUGGGUCACAGAUGCCUUGCAAUGUGUCUACCACAGAGUGUCCAGCAUGCGCCACUUUCUCAGGCACCAUGGCAGAGUGUAUUUUUAUCCUGUCUCUGACUUCGUGUGUGUGUGUGUGUGUGUGUGUGUGUGUGUAUGUGUUCUGCGAGAUUUCAGACAAACUGAACAAACUGAAGAGAGAAGGAGUAAGACGCUUCUUUUGAAGGCGAGGGAAGGGAGAUGAGUGCAUGCACCAGGAGGGGGAGGUGGGAAGGGCGCUCCUCCCACCCAGCGUUCUCCGUGCUCCCAUGAGGAGCUCUUCUGCACGCCCGUGUGAGAAGAAUGGAUGAGACAACACUGGGAAAUAUCCUUUGGUCACCUGCAAAUGCCUGUGGAUGUAAUUGGCAGUUCUUCCUGAUAGAUGGGCUUUGAGUGCUCUGUAUACAGGCUGGGGACUGGGUGGUUUUCUUGAAAUUUCCCCCCAUAGUCAAAUUUUUCAAGAACAAAAAAUAACAAAUUGGCAAUCUACCCACAUGUGUUCUUUUGUAGCAUCCAAGGACACUGUCCUGGCAUGAUGGAUAAUAUUAUGAGCUGUCUCAUUCUGUGAUGGGUUGGGUUAUAAAAGUGAAGCAGAUUUCAUCUCGGUGAAAUGCUUAGCGCAGGGAGCAGUAUUUCCAGUCUAGGUAGUCACGGCUUCCCUUGCUUUUCCCUGCCCGCCCAGGUCAGUACACACACCGCGCCAUCUGAGAAAGGGUGAGGGGCCGCGCUGGCUUUUCUUGCCCAUGAGAAAGGGGGUUGGAGGGGAAGGGGUACAGGCAGAUUUUCUCAGUCUUGGCACACAGGCCAGUGUGAGGAAUGGCUAUUAGGGGAUGCUGUAUGGCUGAUGGAAAGAGACCCAGAGCUUGUCCUGUAAAUGCCAACUUCCCUUUGGCCAUCACCUCCACCAUGGGAGGUCUGAGGCACAGAUCCAAAGGCGAGGUCAAUGUAUGAUCUUUAUUACUGUCAAUUAUUCCGUCACACCUGACAUGGUGUCCUGGAGAGCUAGACUGGAGCGCAUGGCAGCCUCUGUCUUGCUUGUCAUUACAUUCUAUUUCCAUUCAGCCUGUGAGAGGGUUGUACUUUCCUAGUCUGUUUGUGAAGACUGGAGGCAGGUUUUUGUGGGUCAGAACACUAGAGUUAGAUUGGGUAAUCCUGGUGCCUUCGUCCCUAGAUCUACACCCAAACCUUUAUUCACUGUGUUGGUGAGAUAGGUCCAACGACAGGGAAAGGGAAAGAGAUCUGUGGACAGGACCAGGGCUGAGCCAAGCAUGAUCGUCUCAGCUCGUGCCCGCUACAUGGGGACAGCUGCCUUGGCAGUGGACUUGUCCAUCUCCCAGCUCCGGCAAAUGCUGGCUAAUGCAGCUUGGAACUCUUCUAAAUAUUCACUUUCCUACCUAAUUUUGAAUUUAAAUUUUUAUGGGCUUUUUCUUAAAAAGAACUCCCCAACAUGUGUAUGGUCUAGGUCUUACAAAGCUGAGGUCUGCUACAUAUCAGUGUGACUGCUACAUGAUGUCACUGAAGUCCAGUCCUUUGAAGACCUGAAGACUCUCAGGGGAAGAGUGAGCUGUGCCUAUAACAUUAACAAGUCAAAUGCCAGGGCCAGGAGGCCAGGCAACUUUAUUGUAAGAUCUUUCAAAAAGUGUGCAUGCAGAAUGGGCAGAUGCUCUCAUUCCAUAUCAGAGUGCCUGGGUUUGCGUCCCAGUUCUUACCAGUGCAGACCCUGGGAGGCAGCAGGUGACGGCUCUUAUAGUCGGCUCCUUGCCACCCACUUGGAAGAUCUGGAUUGGGUUCUUGCCUCCUGGCUUUGGCCUGGCCUAUGCCAGGCUGUUGCUGGCAUUUAGGGAGUGAACCAAUGGGUGGGGAAUCUCUGUCUGCUUCUCUCUAUACCUUUCAAAUAAAUUAAUAUUUUUUUUUAAAUGUAACAUAGAGAAGGAUGAAAAGUUGCAAAAACUAGUCCAGAGAACUUCUGUGUCUCUUUCAUCCAGAUUCCCCAGUUACUAAAAUUCCGUACAGUUGCCUCAGCUAUGUCAUUUCUCUUUCUCUUUACAUACACACACCUUUUGCUUCCUCAACCACUUGAGAGUGGGUACCAGACAAAUUGUCUGUGACUCUUAAACACUUCAGUAUGCAUUUAUUAAACAAAGGGCAUCCUCUAAUAAAGCCACGAGGCACCUAUCAAAAAUCAAGAAAGCAACAUUGAUUUUAUACCAACCUAUAAUUAAAAUUUCACCCAUUUUCACAGUGAAGUCCUUUGCAGGUUGUGAAUCUAAACCCAAAUCUCGUGCUGUACUGAGUCAUCAUUUCUUCUGGUUUAUUUCAACUUAAGACAGCUCCACAGUCUUUCCUUGCCCUUCAAGGCCUAGAUGUUUUUGAAGUAUCCAAGCCAGUUACUUUGUAGAAUGUCCCUAAAUUUGGUUUUGUCUGAUGCUUCCUCGGGAUUAGAUUAACAUAAUAACAUUUUCCAGGCGUAUCACAGAAGUAACAGGAUGCACAUGAUAUUGAUUUGUUCUAUUGCUGAUGAUAACUUUUUUACUUGGUUAAGAUGCUCUCUGUAGAUCUUUGUGGGAUGCUUUGAGACCAUGUAAAUAUCCUGUUCCUUAUCAAAUUUCUGUUCACUGGUUUAAGCCUUCAUUGAUGAUCCCUGCCUAAAUCAAUUACCACUAUGCUGGUUACCAAGAAACAAUUUUCUAAUUCCAUCAGUCCUUCUGUAUUUAUUAGUUGACGACUUUUUCUUACCUCAUUUACUUAUGUGUAUAC